UAACCGAAAGGUUGGUGGUUCGAGCCCAC
Molecule: non-coding RNA, 29 nt
Filed under: Bombyx mori (domestic silkworm)
Lineage: Eukaryota; Metazoa; Arthropoda; Insecta; Lepidoptera; Bombycidae
Also listed under: 3 other names
Source: RNAcentral